AGAAGGAGUGUGACACAGGCCAGUGGAGCGAGUGGAGCCAGCCUGUGUGCUUCCAGGCUCCCCAGAGACAAGGAACAGUAAGAGGACCUUGUGCAUGAAUAAUUUGUUUCCACACUACAGACAGAAGAAUCCCAGACUUCUUAGAGAACCCAGUGACUUUUUGCACCUUAAAUCUGUGAAAUCCUCAUGUUUUCUUCUGCCGUAUCCAUAGUUCAAACAAAGAUGAGGCAAAGCUAGAUGCAUUCCUGAAGGAACCCAAGAAAUUCCUCUCUUUAUUUCUCUGGAAUGAAAUGAAUUCUCUAGACCACCAGUUCUAACCUUCAAAAACCAAACCUGUUUGUGAGAUCUCCUUCAAAUACUACUGUAGACCCCAGUGUUUAUUCAUUAAAUUUUUAAAAUAUUUGUUUU
Molecule: long non-coding RNA, 408 nt
Filed under: Homo sapiens (human)
Lineage: Eukaryota; Metazoa; Chordata; Mammalia; Primates; Hominidae
Description: non-protein coding lnc-TRIM28-12:2
Source: RNAcentral